AUUGAACGCUGGCGGCAUGCUUUGCACAUGCAAGUCGAACGGCAGCGCGGGCUUCGGCCUGGCGGCGAGUGGCGAACGGGUGAGUAAUGCAUCGGAACGUGCCCAGUAGUGGGGGAUAGCCCGGCGAAAGCCGGAUUAAUACCGCAUACGACCUGAGGGUGAAAGCGGGGGACCGAAAGGCCUCGCGCUAUUGGGGCGGCCGAUGUCGGAUUAGCUAGUUGGUGGGGUAAAGGCUUACCAAGGCGACGAUCCGUAGCUGGUCUGAGAGGACGACCAGCCACACUGGGACUGAGACACGGCCCAGACUCCUACGGGAGGCAGCAGUGGGGAAUUUUGGACAAUGGGGGCAACCCUGAUCCAGCCAUGCCGCGUGCGGGAAGAAGGCCUUCGGGUUGUAAACCGCUUUUGUUCGGGAAGAAAUCCUCUGGGCUAAUACCCCGGGGGGAUGACGGUACCGGAAGAAUAAGCACCGGCUAACUACGUG
RNAcentral lists this ribosomal RNA (484 nucleotides) under uncultured bacterium. Its description in RNAcentral is "partial 16S ribosomal RNA". It matches the Rfam family "Bacterial small subunit ribosomal RNA", at positions 28 to 507 of the family's 1533-position model. The record is from RNAcentral.